GAUGAACGCUGGCGGCGUGCCUAAUACAUGCAAGUCGAGCGAAUGGAUUAAGAGCUUGCUCUUAUGAAGUUAGCGGCGGACGGGUGAGUAACACGUGGGUAACCUGCCCAUAAGACUGGGAUAACUCCGGGAAACCGGGGCUAAUACCGGAUAAUAUUUUGAACUGCACGGUUCAAAAUUGAAAGGCGGCUUCGGCUGUCACUUAUGGAUGGACCCGCGUCGCAUUAGCUAGUUGGUGAGGUAACGGCUCACCAAGGCAACGAUGCGUAGCCGACCUGAGAGGGUGAUCGGCCACACUGGGACUGAGACACGGCCCAGACUCCUACGGGAGGCAGCAGUAGGGAAUCUUCCGCAAUGGACGAAAGUCUGACGGAGCAACGCCGCGUGAGUGAUGAAGGCUUUCGGGUCGUAAAACUCUGUUGUUAGGGAAGAACAAGUGCUAGUUGAAUAAGCUGGCACCUUGACGGUACCUAACCAGAAAGCCACGGCUAACUACGUGCCAGCAGCCGCUGUAA
This 515-nucleotide ribosomal RNA is filed under the name uncultured bacterium. RNAcentral's name for it is "partial 16S ribosomal RNA". It matches the Rfam family "Bacterial small subunit ribosomal RNA", at positions 28 to 523 of the family's 1533-position model. The record is from RNAcentral.